RNAcentral lists this ribosomal RNA (373 nucleotides) under uncultured bacterium. RNAcentral's name for it is "bacterial SSU rRNA". It matches the Rfam family "Bacterial small subunit ribosomal RNA", at positions 523 to 898 of the family's 1533-position model. The record is from RNAcentral.
AUACGGAGGGUGCAAGCGUUAUCCGGAUUUAUUGGGUUUAAAGGGUCCGUAGGCGGGUCUGUAAGUCAGUGGUGAAAUCUCGCAGCUUAACUGUGAAACUGCCAUUGAUACUGCAGGUCUUGAGUGUAGUUGAGGUAGCUGGAAUAAGUAGUGUAGCGGUGAAAUGCAUAGAUAUUACUUAGAACACCAAUUGCGAAGGCAGGUUACCAAGUUACAACUGACGCUGAUGGACGAAAGCGUGGGGAGCGAACAGGAUUAGAUACCCUGGUAGUCCACGCCGUAAACGAUGCUCACUCGUUUUUGGGGCGCAAGCCUCAGAGACCAAGCGAAAGUGAUAAGUGAGCCACCUGGGGAGUACGUUCGCAAGAAUGAA